Molecule: ribosomal RNA, 253 nt
Filed under: uncultured bacterium
Lineage: Bacteria
Description: partial 16S ribosomal RNA
Rfam family: Bacterial small subunit ribosomal RNA
Source: RNAcentral
UACGGAGGGUGCGAGCGUUAUUCGGAAUUAUUGGGCGUAAAGGGCGCGUAGGCGGCUUAUCAAGUCAGGCGUGAAAUUCCCGGGCUCAACCUGGGGGCUGCGCUUGAUACUGAUUGGCUUGAAUGCGGGAGAGGAUAGUGGAAUUCCCAGUGUAGAGGUGAAAUUCGUAGAUAUUGGGAAGAACACCGGUGGCGAAGGCGGCUAUCUGGCCCGUAAUUGACGCUGAGGCGCGAAAGCGUGGGGAGCAAACAGG